GGGACACAGCUCAGUUGGUAGAAUGCUUGUCUUGCAUCUACCAACUAUACUAACCAGAGUCUCAAGGCCCUGGGUUCUAAUCCCAGGUACCA
Molecule: transfer RNA, 92 nt
Filed under: Marmota monax (woodchuck)
Lineage: Eukaryota; Metazoa; Chordata; Mammalia; Rodentia; Sciuridae
Description: tRNA.Ala
Source: RNAcentral